GAGUUUGAUCAUGGCUCAGAUUGAACGCUGGCGGCGUGCCUAACACAUGCAAGUCGAUCGGUAACGCGGGGGCAACCUGGCGACGAGAGGCGGACGGGUGAGCAAUGCUUGGGGAAUCUGCCUAUUAGUGGGGGAUAACCAGCCGAAAGGUUCGGCUAAUACGCAUACGCGACUACGGUGGAAGCCGGGGACCGCAAGCCUGGCGCUAUUAGAUGAGCCCAAGUCGGAUUAGCUAGUUGGUGAGGUAACGGCUCACCAAGGCGACGAUCCGUAGCUGGUCUGAGAGGACGACCAGCCACACCGGAACUGAGACACGGUCCGGACUCCUACGGGAGGCAGCAGUGGGGAAUAUUGGACAAUGGGCGAAAGACCUGAUCCAGCGACGCCGCGUGGGUGAAGAAGGCCUGCGGGUUGUAAAGCCCUUUCGGUUGGGAAGAAAAGUAUCGACCUAACACGUCGGUACCUUGACGUAACCAACAAAAGAAGCACCGGCUAACUCUGUGCCAGCAGCCGCAGUAAG
Molecule: ribosomal RNA, 520 nt
Filed under: uncultured Gammaproteobacteria bacterium
Lineage: Bacteria; Pseudomonadati; Pseudomonadota; Gammaproteobacteria
Description: bacterial SSU rRNA
Rfam family: Bacterial small subunit ribosomal RNA
Source: RNAcentral